GUCAAAGUGCUGACUGAACUGCUUUGCCUUUCCUCCCUGGAUGGCAGGAACAGACCUCAGAGCCCCUGUCGGACUACAGCUAGGGGUGGGGCCCCAAAGCUGCCUCCCUCUGGGGACUCAGGGCACGGGUUCCCGAAUGCACGUCAAGGGAGACCGGCUCUCCCGGGGCUGGGGGAUUAGAGGGCCUUUCCAUUCAACUGUGGCGCGUGGGCCCGUGGGGGAGGGACGUGAAGAUCCCAAGCUGUCAUCAGCACUUUGUUUGCAAAGCUUCAAUCAAGCCCUGCAGUACUCAGCAUUUCCACUGAGCUUUUGGAAUGUCUUAGAGAUUAAGCGGAGGCCUGGGAUAAUUUCAUCCAUGUGGCUCUUGUUCAUGUGUCCCGAGUGGCCCGAUGGAGAUUCAGGUGCCAAGAAUUCUCCUCAUCUGGUUCUAAGUAGACCCUAUGUGGGCCCGAGCUGGAGGUUCCUGGAGUUUUCUGGUUUCGAUGCUUUCUCCCCACCAGAGCAUGCAGUGGCCUCUUCCACAGAAGCCAAGCAGCCCGUCCCAUUGCUUCAGCUACCUGUGGUCAACUACAGGAAACAGCCCAGGAUAAACAGCUUGGAAGCUUUCAGUCGUUGCCCCGUGGAGGACGUGAAUCCCAGGCGUGCGCGCCCUGCCCGCCGUCACCUGGACGCCGUCUCAGGC
RNAcentral lists this long non-coding RNA (682 nucleotides) under Fukomys damarensis (Damara mole-rat). RNAcentral describes it as "lncRNA (ENSFDAG00000027849.1)". Lineage: Eukaryota; Metazoa; Chordata; Mammalia; Rodentia; Bathyergidae. The record is from RNAcentral.